RNAcentral lists this ribosomal RNA (379 nucleotides) under uncultured bacterium. Its description in RNAcentral is "bacterial SSU rRNA". It matches the Rfam family "Bacterial small subunit ribosomal RNA", at positions 28 to 419 of the family's 1533-position model. The record is from RNAcentral.
GACGAACGCUGGCGGCGUGCUUAACACAUGCAAGUCACGGGGGUCCGCAAGGGAUAACCGGCGAACGGGUGCGUAACACGUGAACAACCUGCCCUCGUGUGGGGGAUAGCCAUGCUAACGCGUGGGUAAUACCGCAUACGGUCCUUUGGGGGAGUCCCUGGGGGAAGAAAGCUCCGGCGCACGGGGAGGGGUUCGCGGCCUAUCAGCUAGUUGGGGGGUAAUGCCCACCAAGGCGACGACGGGUAGCUGGUCUGAGAGGAUGGCCAGCCACAUUGGGACUGAGAGACGGCCCAGACUCCUACGGGAGGCAGCAGUGGGGAAUCUUGCGCAAUGGCCGAAAGGCUGACGCAGCGACGCCGCGUGGGGGAGGAAGGCCUUC